ACCUAGGCUUCGGCUUAGGGGAAAGCGGCGAACGGGUGAGUAUCACGUGGGUAAUCUGCCCUCGACAUCGGGAUAGCCCGGGGAAACCCGGAUUAAUACCGAAUGGCCCAUCCGCUCUUCGGAGCGGCUGGAAAAGGUAGCUUCGGCCUCCGGUCGAGGAGGAGCCCGCGGCGGAUUAGCUUGUUGGUGAGGUAAUGGCUCACCAAGGCGACGAUCCGUAGCUGGUCUGAGAGGACGAUCAGCCACACUGGGACUGAGACACGGCCCAGACUCCUACGGGAGGCAGCAGUUGGGAAUCUUGGACAAUGGGGGAAACCCUGAUCCAGCCAUGCCGCGUGAGUGAUGAAGGCCUUCGGG
Molecule: ribosomal RNA, 357 nt
Filed under: uncultured bacterium
Lineage: Bacteria
Description: bacterial SSU rRNA
Rfam family: Bacterial small subunit ribosomal RNA
Source: RNAcentral